UGAGGAAUAUUGGUCAAUGGACGGAAGUCUGAACCAGCCAAGUAGCGUGCAGGAUGACGGCCCUAUGGGUUGUAAACUGCUUUUGUAUGGGGAUAAAGUUAGGGACGUGUCCCUAUUUGCAGGUACCAUAUGAAUAAGGACCGGCUAAUUCCGUGCCAGCAGCCGCGGUAAUACGGAAGGUUCAGGCGUUAUCCGGAUUUAUUGGGUUUAAAGGGAGCGUAGGCUGGAGAUUAAGUGUGUUGUGAAAUGUAGACGCUCAACGUCUGACUUGCAGCGCAUACUGGUUUCCUUGAGUACGCACAACGUUGGCGGAAUUCGUCGUGUAGCGGUGAAAUGCUUAGAUAUGACGAAGAACUCCGAUUGCGAAGGCAGCUGACGGGAGCGCAACUGACACUUAAGCUCGAAGGUGCGGGUAUCAAACAGGAUUAGAUACCCUGGUAGUCCGCACAGUAAACGAUGGAUGCCCGCUGUUGGUACCUGGUAUCAGCGGCUAAGCGAAAGCAUUAAGCAUCCCACCUGGGGAGUACGCCGGCAACGGUG
RNAcentral lists this ribosomal RNA (540 nucleotides) under uncultured bacterium. RNAcentral describes it as "bacterial SSU rRNA". It matches the Rfam family "Bacterial small subunit ribosomal RNA", at positions 355 to 896 of the family's 1533-position model. The record is from RNAcentral.